UGGAUGCUGAUUGCACCCUGACACUAUUGAUUGCGGGGGGGGAAAAAACCCCAAAACCUCCCCAACAAAAAUAAGUCAGAAAGGCUGGCUUGGCAGAGAAAGGGGCAAUGGAAGAAGGCACUGAGGCUGGAGACAGCAGGGAAGGUGGCCUGAGGAGAGCGGAGCUCUGUGCUCAGCGAGGAAAGGCCUUUGGAAUGGCGUAGUCCUGCCUGUGAUCCUGUGGAAAAAUGAGGAUUUUCAAUGGUCAGGUUCUAAGAGACAUCCCCAGCCAUGGGAGAAGAAGAUGAAGUCUGAAGAAGACAAUAAAACACAUUGGCCUGGUAAUGAGCAGGAGUGUAGAUGGUGUUGAUAGGAAAGCAGUUAUGCAGUCUGGAGGAAGUGGAAAUAAUUUGUUAUCAAAGGGCAGUUCAUUUCUCUCGGUUGUGUGCUUGCAAUCCUGUACUUUCCCAUAGAGUGUCACAAAACCAAAGCUGUGGUGUCUCAGGGCCACCACAGAAACCAGGGCAUUGAACAAAUGAGGGUCCCACACACGAGGGCUUUUGUGCUCAGAGAAGUUCACUGCUUUUUGCAUUUCUUUUUGUGCUUAGUAACUACCCCUAGAGCCCACUCAGCACGUGUGUUACAUACCUGCACGUGUGCUUGUCUAAGCAUGGUUGCACGAGACUCUCAAAUUCACGUAAUUUCAAAACAGAGUAAAUUUACAUUUAUCCUUUGGGCUUAAUUACCAAAUAUUUAUUUGAAGAAAUAAACUUUAUAUUUAAUAACUGACUUGCUGUAGGCUGGCGGGAAAUGUCAGUAACAGCAGCAGAGAUGAAACCAUGAAUUCUGAAAGCAGCAAGUCUUUCUCAGCUCCACCACAAAGGACGGGGCAUUUCAGAGGCUAGGGAGAGUCCUGGUCUGGGGAUUUUGUAUUUCCUCAGGCUUCAUUCCUUUAGAACAAAGUUCUUUUUUUAAAAAGUGAUCUCACAAGGAGUUAGGAGCAAUCAAAUUAGGAGGAUCUGACCAUUAGGAGACAAACAUUGAAUUAAGCUUUAAUUAAUUGGAAGAGGAGAAAAUGAUUGGUCUUUUCAGGUAGUUCAUGCAGUGGAAUGGCACCUUUUGUAUCUGCUGGAAUAUUUACUUCAGGACUUAUGAAUAUACAUUGGUAUGUUCCAACACUCCCUUGUUCUGAGUGAAGAAUUCUGAAUGUUUGGAUCUCUUGCUUGCAUGGUAGGAAAUGGGCUCUGAACCAAGUGGAUGUUCUGCAGACAUAAGGGGAAGGCUGAUUAACUUGUUUCCUUUAUGCCAAUUUAGUGAAGCUUGAAGUGAAAUCUAAUGGCAGCAAUCAUAACAAGCAAAUCCUUUUCUGUGUAAUAACAUAAGAAAAACAGCAAGGGGUGUGGGAUUAAAAGAACAGUAUAGUUUAUUUAAUUUAGCAGAAUGGGAAAUACCUUGCUUUGCACCAGAUUAAUAUCAUCAUUAAUACCAGAAAACAGAUUAUUUCUGUUUGCAUCUGGUCACUUCACCUUCCCUGCCCUCCAUCCCUGCCAUAUAACAGCCUGCCACAGGCAUGUGGAGGUGUGACAUCCUUUACACGAUCCUGUGGACUGAGCUGGUGGUUUAUUGUCAUUGUCACACGGUCACAGAGGGACUGGUGCACCUGCAGGAAGCGAUGGGACAACCACAAAGGCUGCCCAAAGGGUUUCUGCCCUGUGUGGGAUCCUUGGGGAGACCAAAGGAUCGAAUUCCCCCUCCGAGGAGCUGGUACAAACACCUGUGUUCAUGUACAGGAAGAGGUUUGUCCGACAAAGCUCACAUGCUCCAGCCAUCUGGACGUGAUAAAAGGGAAAAGAUUAUGGCAGAACCAAUUAUUCCUUCCCAGGAUGGAGAGAAAGGAUUUGGUUCCAUUUCACGUGGAAAAGGUGGAAAGAGGAAUGUAUUAAUGCUGGCCGGAGAGGUCCCAGUCGCUUGGCAGAGGGGGUGAACCACAGGGACCCUCUUGGGGCUGUGCCGAGCUUACAGCUCUUCACGAUUCUCCUUCUCACGCAGCCCAGCCUGCAGCCUGCGGCCUGAGCAUUGGGGUCCGGCCCCCGCAGUGAAGACCACGGAGUGUCCAGCACAGGGUGACAUCUGCGGGGCCUCAGCUGCGUGCGUGAGAGUGCUCGGGGGCAGGAACAGCUCCGAAAAACCCAAAAAACCCUUUUUAUCUGCUCCGUGCGCAGGCUCCGAGCGGGCGGCAGCGCUCCCGAGCCGCCGCUUUCGGGGGAGGUGGUGCUGGGAAACCAAACCAAUAAACGCGGCUGCGGGAAACUGCUGAGUCAAGACUGGGGAAAUCACGUGAAAAGCCAAAAAAAGAAAGCUUGGUGGGGAGGUGAAGAGAUCAGAGAGCAGGUUGCAGCAGAGAGCUGCGAAAUUUCCUGUAAACCCGCUCGUGUCGCGACGCAGCUGGAAAAACAUUCCCGGCUGGAGCGGGCUGGGAGCGGCGGCAGCGUCACACGAACCCGGCUGGGUUCAUCGCGGGCUGGAGGCUGAGCGUGGAAGCAAGGCAGGAGCUGGGCCUUGGCACGGUGCUGGGCCGGCAGCUGUCCCUUCUCUGUCCCACUGCUGUCCCUUCGCUGUCCCAUUGCUGCCCCUCGGCGCUGCGGGGUGUCGGGGUGCCCCGCGGUGCUCCAAGCGUUUCCAGCUGCUGCUGGAUGUGAUGUGUGCUGCAACACUCAGCAGCUGGGUUAACAUGUGGCAGAGGAUGAGAUUGAUGCGUUUUGUGAGUCAGACCAAGCUGCUUGUAGAUGUAGCUCUGUUUAAUGUGAAAAAAAAAAGAACUUGUUUGACUGACAAGAUGUUCUUUGGGCUUGUUCCAGCAAAGGAGAGGUGUGUCAAUGCUCUGGCUUUUGUGGUUUGAUCGACAUGCAGUGCUAACUUGCUGGAGAUACAUCUGUCAGCUUCAGAGCAGAAUUCAUUGUGUGAAAAUGGCUCUGCACAGAAGGCACCGCCCACUUCCAGCUCUUAUGAAAGAUGUGUUGGCUGUAACAUUUUCUGAGAGAUUUCAGCAGGAAAAGAUGUUGCCUCUAAAAUACAAGGCAGGGAGGGAAACUGGAUAUUAUACAGUCAUUUUCAGAACUGGAUAUUUUAACUGCAGGACUUCGGUGCUACAGGAUCCCUUGUGACCUAGAAUAACAUUACAUCCCUUUUACAGAGAACAUAAUGAUAUUUGUAGCUGGUCUAUGGUUUCCAGCUCUGACAGAGAUCAGAAACCAGGUCUGGCAAACACCAGGCUAAUGCCUUUUCACUGCAUUGUCCUGAAACAGAGCUCUUUGGGGGAAUGAGCUCUCUCCAGUUGGAAGUUCUGUUUGCUUUGUGCUUUUAGAGCUGGGAUUUGAAGCAGCAGCUGCUGCUGUAGGAUUAAAAAGGGAGAAACUGAAGGGAUACACACACAGCCCCAGUUCUGCAAGCAACAAAAUCGGAGUCCUGUGGUUGCAGAACCAGUUGUGACCUACUCCCCAGCCACAUCCUACAAACCAGCUUUACCUGUGCAGUGACAGGGUUUCACUCACCUCUGCAGAGGCUGUUUUGUAAUUUAUGUUCCCAUCUCAUGCCCAGCCUUCACUGAAAAUUAAUUAAUUAAAGAUCAACUUUGCCUUGAGCCUAAAACUAGCACCAGCUGAAGGGCUUUGUGGAUGUAAUUAAGGGCCUGCUUUUGAGAAAGCUAUCUGGUUUUGGCCAUGAUAAUGAAUUUUUUUAGCUAUACCUCAAACUUCAGAGAUUACACAAGGGUAAAACAGAACUGGCACUGUGAUAAUUUCCUAGGACGUUCAAUCCAGAAGGGAAAAAUAAAGUGAUAUGUAAUUGAACAUGUUGCUAAUAAUCCAGGACUGAUAUUUCACACUGAAUUAAAACAACUACUGCUCCAAAUAGUAACAAGCAAUCUAUUCCUUAUCAUUUCAGGUGCAAUUUACUUGCAUGCUAGCCCCUUUCUGCAAAGUCAUAGUGACUAAGCUUUGCAAAGAAGCACAGGAGCCCUUGGGCCCUGCAAAGGCCUGGGCAGUGAUCCUCUGCACUCCUUAAUUGCAUAACACAUCUAAAUGUGGGAUCUACUGAAAGCAGUUAUUGCAACUUCCCUGUUACUGCAAAUAUCAUUAAAUGGAACAGGAUCUGUAGACUUACCUUGUUGAAAAGACAAAAUUUCAUACCAAGUUAUGAUUACUCAGGCACUUUAACACAGAAGUACCUGGUGACAUCAUGUUUUCCUCCAGCUCUAAAAAACAGGUGUUGCAAGCAGACAAACAACUGAUUGUUUUAAGGAGUAAGAUAAAGAACUAUCAACAGUUACAGAGAAAAUUAGGUUACUUGUAUUCUCCUGUCUGAAUAGUCUCCUUAGGCUGCAAGAGCCGACCAAACUUUUGAUCUAACAAAUGUAACAAUGCUGGUAGCAGAAGAACUCUUGGAAUUCAGCAGAUACAAGCAGAGGGGAUAUGAUAAGGAGACAAUUCCAAAAGAAAAAGCCGCAUGAGAAGGUGGCCAGCCCAGCAACAAUGGAACCCAGCAGGAAAUCAAGAGUCCACUGACCAGAAUUUUGUGUUUGACUUGGCCUGGGUGAUGAGUGUCAGGAUAUAACUGAGAGGUGUGAACUGGGGUAGGGGUCCCUCUCCAGAGGCACCAGUUCGAGCUGCAACCAAAGAACUAACAGGAGACUAAUUGGAAACAUUCACUUGCACUUGGCAUUCUUAGUGGGGUCCUAGGGUCAGACACAGUUACUGUGGCUGGUCUGUGUAAAUCUUUAGCAAUUGAUAAAAAUUUAGUAUUUGCUGGAUGCGAACUACUUUUCCUCAGCUUAAGAGGUUUAUUUGCAGUGCUGCAAUAUCCUGCUGAUUCUAGAAAAUUCACUUUCAAAGUUACUUUUUGGUUUAAUUUAUAUCCUAAUGCUAAUUUUCUAUAAGCAGCAGCAAGACAAUCUGUGAGUCAUUUGAAAGGUGACCUUGUACUACGAAACAAUUACUUAACCAGGAAAAAAACCUGCUCCUUUGUAGAUUAACCAACAUCCAUUGUUUCUUUUCCCAGUUAACUCCGUGUAUUAAAAGAUAUCCUUUGCACAAAGUUCAGUGCCUCUCAACCACUGCAAUAAAUUAUGAGGUGUUGAUUGUUUAAAUUCCACAGUAUGUCCACAGGCCCCAGCCUCUUUAAGGGGGAACAAAAAAGGUAAAUCCAAAACUACCAUCUUAAAUUUGAUUUGUCAUCAGUUAUUCUCAAUCAGGAGGAAGUGCAGUGGCAUAUAUUGUAUUUCACAUGGGAAAAAGAAUGAAAGAAUAUGAAUGAAUUUGCUGCUCUGUUUUUUUUUUUCCUCAGAGUAGACAGAUAAUCUAUCAGUCUCCAAACAGUCAUCUGUUCCUGCAAGAUUAUUAUUAUUAUUUUUUUUAAGAAUGUAGGAAAUAUCCUCCUUAAGGAGAAAGCAUUGGUGGAAAAACCAUGCCAUGCAUUUAGCUGCCUCCAAGUGUGAGACGGGAAGGAAGGAGCCGAGCAGGAUUGGUGGCAGGUGCUUCCCAGACCUGCCCAAGCCCACCUGCCCCGGAGUGCUGUGUGGUUCCAGCAGGGCAGGCUCAGCCCCCUGCAGCCCACACCAACCUCCAGAACAGCUCACAGCACCGGCACCUGCUCUGCUACAGCCAUCCCAGUUCCCAGAAUUCAAAAAGGAAAUCCAAAACACUCCAUCUCCCCCUUCCACCGAGUCAGUGCUCCUGAGCUGGGAAGGGCCAGGCUGGACACAGUCCUUCUGCUCAGAUUUAACCCAGCUGCUCAGGGUGAAGAAAAAUCAAGAAAUGGCCAAUUGGCUAUUCUUAAUAAGAGAAGCAAAUUCUCUAUACAGCUCUGUCCUUCAUACGUCAAUAAUCAUUCCAGGGUCGUUACAAUAACGAUAAAAGUGGGAGACAAGGAAUAUUCACACAGCAGGAGAGGUGCCUCCUUCAGGAACAAGGCACCACCUCUGGUAUUUUUGUGUAUUUCUGCCACUUGUACACAUUCUAAUCCCAAUUCAGGGUCUAUGAAGAUGCUUAUUUCCUUCCCCUCCAAGAACCAUAGAAGACUUAGCAAAAAACACAAAAUAAAAAAAUUCAGGAAUGGAAGCCACUUAGAAAACUCAAGGGAUUUUAAUGACUGAAUGAAUAAAGAACUACUUAUUAUAUUUAAGUAGCAAACAAGUAUUUUGCUAUCAAAGCACAAGCUAAAGAAUUUAAAGAAGCCAUAAACAUUAGUAAGCCCAACAUACAGAACUUGGAGUAAGAAGGCAUUUUACACACAAGAGUUUAUCAACACAAAACUGUUUAAUAUUUAUUAAAUGACACAAAAUACCUAGAUAACAGACUCACUCUCUGAAAGGACAUGUAUUUACAUUAUUUACCAACUUAAGAAAGACUCUCUGUACCCAUAUCAGACUUAUGAAACAUAAAAAAGGUUUUGCUGCUUUUUGCAUCGAAGGAUGCAACGGUGAUACAUGCCCUGUUUGCAAGUCUGCAUAAACUAUAAGUUUUUGAUGCUGUGAAAAAGCACAUUUUCAUAUUCUGGUAGCUGAGGGAAGAGGCUUCUGAAAAGUAACAGGGUUAGUUUUCCCCCCCCACUCCAGACACACUCUCAAGACUUUUGUUAUACAAAAAGUAUAUUACAUUUUUGAAUGCUGCUGUACUCUUACAAUUUUAGUGUAACGUUUCAAAGAAAAUGUUCUUCCUACUAUAUGAGAGCACUAAAAAAAGAGUGGUAUUUGAACAUUUUUUUAGAUGCACUUUUUUUUUUUUGUUUUAAAAGAAAGCAUUAGGGCAAAUGAUAUGUCUAGGAAAAAAUGAAAGGCUGACAAAAAAAAAAUAAAGCUGAGACCAAAAUAUGAAGAACAGCUAAAGCAACUUAACGAUUUGCUAGGGUUUGUUUUUUUGUGUUUUUUUUUAAUUAACUAUUUACUUUGGCACCUUCGUGUAAACUAUAGAACAAAACAACGUUUACAACACAUUUGCAAUUACAGCAUUUAAACAAAAUGGUCACUUUUGAAACUAGCCAAGACAAAAAAAUAGUCCAUUUAUGGGUAUAAAGAUUAAAAAACCUAAAAUAUAUAUUUCUAAGAAUAAACUGCAAUUUCUUAUGAACAAGGUGCUAUAAACUGCAUGCAAGAGUCAAGAUUAAAAAUGUGUGGCCAAAAAGACAAGCUGUGUUCUAGCCAGAUGAGUUGUGGUCCAAGCCCAUUUCAGUUUUUCUUACAGAGAUAUAUAUGGCUCAAUAAGCAGGCACACGAUCCCAGCAAGAAUUUGCGGAGUUGUACGACGACAAAUCUUGGCUGCGGCUUUGUCAUUAACCAGGAAUGAGCCAGACCUCAGCAGAAGAGAUGAACAAGUUCCUGGGGAAAACCCAUGAAGCUACAAGGAGAAGCCUUCUCCCCUCCCCUCGCUCACCCCUCUCCUGGUCUAGCCAGGGUUCUCAAAGUCCAUUCUUUGGGUUGCUUUAACUGGAUUGCGCUUGGGCUCUGCCUCACAUUGUGAAUUCUGAUGAGAUUUCAGGACAUUUUCUGUAUAAUAUUUUCUGCAUUAGACAGGAUAAAAAUGAAAUAAACCUACAGUCCUUUGCA
Long non-coding RNA from Onychostruthus taczanowskii (white-rumped snowfinch), 7576 nucleotides. RefSeq lists it as uncharacterized. The transcript is spliced from 2 exons. Lineage: Eukaryota; Metazoa; Chordata; Aves; Passeriformes; Passeridae. The record is from RefSeq and is a predicted model, not a curated record.